GGGUCAGUAGGUUGGUCGUGCCACCGGUACGUACUGGUCUCACUGAUUCCUCCUUCCUGAAGAACCGUAAUGCCAUUAAUUUGGUGUUGCGGGGAAACAGGACUGUUACUUUGAAAAAAUUAGAGUGUUUAAAGCAAGCUAACGCUUGAAUACAUUAGCAUGGAAUAAUGAAAUAGGACGAUCGAUCCUAUUUUGUUGGUUUCUAGGAUUGACGUAAUGAUUAAUAUAGAUAGUUGGG
This 238-nucleotide ribosomal RNA is filed under the name Glomeromycotina sp. Its description in RNAcentral is "partial small subunit ribosomal RNA". The stretch from base 40 to 238 matches the Rfam family "Eukaryotic small subunit ribosomal RNA", at positions 686 to 886 of the family's 1831-position model. The record is from RNAcentral. Lineage: Eukaryota; Fungi; Glomeromycota.